Molecule: ribosomal RNA, 445 nt
Filed under: uncultured bacterium
Lineage: Bacteria
Description: bacterial SSU rRNA
Rfam family: Bacterial small subunit ribosomal RNA
Source: RNAcentral
GCCAGACUCCUACGGGAGGCAGCAGUGGGGAAUAUUGCACAAUGGGGGAAACCCUGAUGCAGCGACGCCGUGUGAGCGAUGAAGUAUUUCGGUAUGUAAAGCUCUAUCAGCAGGGAAGAAGAUGACGGUACCUGACUAAGAAGCCCCGGCUAACUACGUGCCAGCAGCCGCGGUAAUACGUAGGGGGCAAGCGUUAUCCGGAUUUACUGGGUGUAAAGGGAGCGUAGACGGCGAUGCAAGCCAGAUGUGAAAGCCCGGGGCCCAACCCCGGGACUGCUCUUGGAACUGCGUGGCUGGAGUGCAGGAGGGGCAGGCGGAAUUCCUGGUGUAGCGGUGAAAUGCGUAGAUAUCAGGAGGAACACCGGUGGCGAAGGCGGCCUGCUGGACUGCAACUGACGUUGAGGCCCGAAAGCGUGGGGAGCAAACAGGAUUAGAUACCCCAGUA